UCAAAGAUUAAGCCAUGCAUGUCUCAGUACAAGCCAAAWUAAGGUGAAACCGCGAAAGGCUCAUUAAAUCAGUUAUGGUUCCUUAGAUCGUACCCACAAUUACUUGGAUAACUGUGGUAAUUCUAGAGCUAAUACAUGCAAACAGAGCUCCGACCGGAGACGGAAGGAGUGCUUUUAUUAGAUCAAAACCAAUCGGUGGCGAGUUCGCUCGUUAUCGUACAACUUGGUGACUCUGAAUAACUUUACGCUGAUCGCACGGUCAUCGCACCGGCGACGCAUCUUUCAAAUGUCUGCCUUAUCAACUGUCGAUGGUAGGUUCUGCGCCUACCAUGGUUGUAACGGGUAACGGGGAAUCAGGGUUCGAUUCCGGAGAGGGAGCCUGAGAAACGGCUACCACAUCCAAGGAAGGCAGCAGGCGCGCAAAUUACCCACUCCCGGCACGGGGAGGUAGUGACGAAAAAUAACGAUACGGGACUCAUCCGAGGCCCCGUAAUCGGAAUGAGUACACUCUAAACCCUUUAACGAGGAUCAAUUGGAGGGCAAGUCUGGUGCCAGCAGCCG
RNAcentral lists this ribosomal RNA (561 nucleotides) under Trigonopterus wallacei. RNAcentral's name for it is "SSU rRNA". It matches the Rfam family "Eukaryotic small subunit ribosomal RNA", at positions 37 to 578 of the family's 1831-position model. The record is from RNAcentral. Lineage: Eukaryota; Metazoa; Arthropoda; Insecta; Coleoptera; Curculionidae.